This 619-nucleotide ribosomal RNA is filed under the name uncultured bacterium. Its description in RNAcentral is "bacterial SSU rRNA". It matches the Rfam family "Bacterial small subunit ribosomal RNA", at positions 28 to 635 of the family's 1533-position model. The record is from RNAcentral.
AACGAACGCUGGCGGCGUGCUUAACACAUGCAAGUCGAACGCGAAAGAAUUCUUCGGGAUUUGAGUAGAGUGGCGCACGGGUGAGUAACGCGUAAGUAAUCUACCCUGGUAUCCGGGAUAACCCACCGAAAGGUGUGCUAAUACGGGAUACGCUGAUUUAUCAGGAAAGAUGGCCUCUUCAUGAAAGCUAUCGUACCAGGAGGAGCUUGCGUACCAUUAGCUAGUUGGUAGGGUAAUGGCCUACCAAGGCGACGAUGGUUAGCGGGUCUGAGAGGAUGAUCCGCCACACUGGAACUGAAACACGGACCAGACUCCUACGGGAGGCAGCAGUGAGGAAUAUUGCGCAAUGGGGGAAACCCUGACGCAGCGACGCCGCGUGGAUGAUGAAGGCCUUCGGGUCGUAAAAUCCUGUCAGGUGGAAAGAAGUGUAGUAUGCCUAAUACGUGUACUAUUUGACGGUACCACCAAAGGAAGCACCGGCUAACUCCGUGCCAGCAGCCGCGGUAAUACGGAGGGUGCAAGCGUUGUUCGGAAUUACUGGGCGUAAAGCGCGCGUAGGCGGUCUGUUAAGUCAGAUGUGAAAGUCCACGGCUCAACCGUGGAAGUGCAUUUGAAACUG